Molecule: transfer RNA, 64 nt
Filed under: Mecinus janthinus
Lineage: Eukaryota; Metazoa; Arthropoda; Insecta; Coleoptera; Curculionidae
Description: tRNA-Trp
Source: RNAcentral
AAGAAUUUAAGUUAACUAAACUAUUGACCUUCAAAGUCAAAAAUGAAUGAAAAUUUAGUUCUUA